This 457-nucleotide ribosomal RNA is filed under the name uncultured Anoxybacillus sp. Its description in RNAcentral is "bacterial SSU rRNA". It matches the Rfam family "Bacterial small subunit ribosomal RNA", at positions 925 to 1382 of the family's 1533-position model. The record is from RNAcentral. Lineage: Bacteria; Bacillati; Bacillota; Bacilli; Caryophanales; Anoxybacillaceae.
ACAAGCGGUGGAGCAUGUGGUUAAUUCGAAGCAACGCGAAGAACCUUACCUGGUCUUGACAUCCCCUGACAACCCGAGAGAUCGGGCGUUCCCCUUCGGGGGGACAGGGUGACAGGUGGUGCAUGGUUGUCGUCAGCUCGUGUCGUGAGAUGUUGGGUUAAGUCCCGCAACGAGCGCAACCCUCGACCUUAGUUGCCAGCAUUCAGUUGGGCACUCUAAGGUGACUGCCGGCUAAAAGUCGGAGGAAGUGGGGAUGACGUCAAAUCAUCAUGCCCCUUAUGACCUGGGCUACACACGUGCUACAAUGGGCGGUACAAAGGGUCGCGAACCCGCGAGGGGGAGCCAAUCCCAAAAAGCCGCUCUCAGUUCGGAUUGCAGGCUGCAACUCGCCUGCAUGAAGCCGGAAUCGCUAGUAAUCGCGGAUCAGCAUGCCGCGGUGAAUACGUUCCCGGGCCUU